RNAcentral lists this ribosomal RNA (796 nucleotides) under uncultured bacterium. Its description in RNAcentral is "bacterial SSU rRNA". It matches the Rfam family "Bacterial small subunit ribosomal RNA", at positions 66 to 868 of the family's 1533-position model. The record is from RNAcentral.
UUUGGAUGGAUUUCUUCGGAAUGAUAUCCUUAGUGACUGAGUGGCGGACGGGUGAGUAACGCGUGGGUAACCUGCCUCGUACAGGGGGAUAACAGUUAGAAAUGGCUGCUAAUACCGCAUAAGCGCACAGUGCCGCAUGGUACAGUGUGAAAAACUCCGGUGGUAUGAGAUGGACCCGCGUCUGAUUAGCUGGUUGGCAGGGUAACGGCCUACCAAGGCGACGAUCAGUAGCCGACCUGAGAGGGUGAUCGGCCACAUUGGGACUGAGACACGGCCCAAACUCCUACGGGAGGCAGCAGUGGGGAAUAUUGCACAAUGGGGGAAACCCUGAUGCAGCGACGCCGCGUGAAGGAAGACGUAUUUCGGUAUGUAAACUUCUAUCAGCAAGGAAGAUGAUGACGGUACUUGACUAAGAAGCCCCGGCUAACUACGUGCCAGCAGCCGCGGUAAUACGUAGGGGGCAAGCGUUAUCCGGAUUUACUGGGUGUAAAGGGAGCGUAGGCGGCCAUGCAAGUCAGAAGUGAAAGCCCGGGGCUCAACCCCGGGACUGCUUUUGAAACUGUAAGGCUAGAUUGCCGGAGAGGUAAGCGGAAUUCCUAGUGUAGCGGUGAAAUGCGUAGAUAUUAGGAGGAACACCAGUGGCGAAGGCGGCUUACUGGACGGUGAAUGACGCUGAGGCUCGAAAGCGUGGGGAGCAAACAGGAUUAGAUACCCUGGUAGUCCACGCUGUAAACGAUGAAUACUAGGUGUUGGGGUCCAAAAGGACUUCGGUGCCGCAGCAAACGCAAUAAGUAUU